This is a non-coding RNA of Varroa destructor (honeybee mite), 1593 nucleotides long. The record is from RefSeq and is a predicted model, not a curated record. NCBI's taxonomy places the organism in Eukaryota, Metazoa, Arthropoda, Arachnida, Mesostigmata, Varroidae.
AACGCAUAAAGUCUUGUAGGUGAUUUACACUGGGGUUCGUCAUUGUAAAUUGUAUAAUAUGCUCAAGCUACUGCAGACAAUGGCGUAAAUGCAAGUGCUGUGUCGAUAUACCCAUCAGCCGUUGGCUGCUAUCGAGACUACGCAUUAUUAUGUUUACGAUGCGAAAAGUAGCAGUCGACCGAUGAUGACUCCGUAGCCGAGAUGAGACAAUGAAGCCCGUGAGAUAUCUUGAGGUCGUUAGUACUAGCCACUCGAAAUGAAUAACUUGCGUCGAAGGUCAAGAGAACCGAAGCGUGUGUGUAGCUCAGCGGUCCUGCUGAAACGCAAGGGAUCUGCGAAUAUCUUCAGCGUAGAGACCUCUGCGCCUGUAGAGGCCGUUUCUCCCGGGGCCGGUAGUCCACAAAUAACUUACGCGAUCUCUAAAACAAGUCACUUUGGUAAUGAGAAUAUUUUCAGCUCUUCGCGCGAGGCAGGGAAAAUCGUAUCUGUUAGCUCGGACCAAAGGGGUCAUCGUAAAGUUAAGCUUGCCCCAUUGUGCUAUUCGCUAAGAUGGACCUUCCGGCUGGUUUACCUGGUCGCAUUGUUCGCUACGGCGUUGGCUGUUACCGUGGCGUGCAUGCUACUGACGGUCGUCACGUCCUAUUCGACUACCUGGCGUCUUCUCUAUAUUCCUAUAAUCGGAACGGCUACACUGUCGGUGGUCACCAUCGUAGUAUUCAAAGCAACACAACCUGACAUCGAGAUCUGGCAUCAGUUGAACUCGCUAGAGCCGGUAUGGUAAGCUUUUGCACUUACCGCCCUCACCUGUCUGGUAUCUAAUUAGCCGCGAUGAUGACUCGCUCCGCACCGGACCUUCGCGGCGGACGACAACCGGAGUUCGUUCGUGAUACCCCACCGCGAGUGUAUCUCAACAACACCCGCCAUCUUCAACCGCACAUGAAGAAAAUGAAAUGCAAACACGGUAGCAGAUUUCAUUGGUACACUCUUCCAAGACGCCGAUGGUUGUUCGUUACGCACCGAAAAAGUAAAUUUCAAUGUACGCUACCGAGACCGCGUGUUCGAAUGCGUUAUGAUGACAGAAAAGCUGACGCCAUGUUUGUGCCACAUUUAAAUGAUGCAAUGAUUAACAAUUACUAUCUGAAUCGAGAGUUGCCGGAGCACCAGUUUUACCAAAGCAGCCUUUUUGGUGCGUCGCGAAGAUCGCUCUACGGUCGCCGAAGCAGCAUAAUGAGUGACAUGUCUCUUGUCAGCCAACGAAGGAGGAUACAACGUCUUCGUUGGGAGAUUAAAGCCUGCGAGAUGUACGAAGAAUUGCAACGUCGUAAUGCUAAAACAGGAUACACACCGCAGCAAAGUCCAACCGGCACCCCCUCAACGAGACUAUCCCAACGAUCGAAAAUAAUCAAUGACGCAAUUAUCAAGUACUGGUUGAGUCCGUAUGAUCCCACUGAAGGAACCGUUGUAUUACAUGUUUAGCGGAUCGGCCGUCUUUGGCUGUAUAUUAUUAAUGUAGAUUUACUAGAUUUGAUUUUUUGUUUAUGCAUAUUCACUUCUUUUUACAUAUACUAUUUUAUUCUGCUACGCGUGCGUCAU